This 351-nucleotide unclassified non-coding RNA is filed under the name soil metagenome. RNAcentral's name for it is "partial contains 5.8S ribosomal RNA, internal transcribed spacer 2, and large subunit ribosomal RNA". The stretch from base 1 to 120 matches the Rfam family "5.8S ribosomal RNA", at positions 35 to 154 of the family's 154-position model. The record is from RNAcentral.
GAUGAAGAACGUAGCGAAAUGCGAUAAGUAAUGUGAAUUGCAGAAUUCAGUGAAUCAUCGAAUCUUUGAACGCACAUUGCGCCCGCCAGUAUUCUGGCGGGCAUGCCUGUUCGAGCGUCAUUACAACCCUCAGGCCUCCGGGCCUGGCGUUGGGGAUCGGCGGAGCCCCCCGUGGGCACACGCCGUCCCCCAAAUACAGUGGCGGUCCCGCCGCAGCUUCCGCUGCGUAGUAGCUAACACCUCGCAACUGGAGAGCGGCGCGGCCACGCCGUAAAACACCCAACUUCUGAAUGUUGACCUCGAAUCAGGUAGGAAUACCCGCUGAACUUAAGCAUAUCAAUAAGCGGAGGA